UUAUGUGAUCGUCUCUCGCAUAUCAAUAAGCGGAGGAAAAGAAACUAACAAGGAUUCCCCUAGUAACGGCGAGUGAAGCGGGAAGAGCUCAAAUUUGAAAUCUUAAAGGGUUUCCCUUUACGAAUUGUAGUUUAAAGAAGUGUUUUCUGUUGAGGUUUUGGUAAAAGUUCUUUGGAAUAGGACGUCAUAGAGGGUGAGAAUCCCGUAUUUGACCUUUACUUUCAACUUUGUGAUACACUUUCAAAGAGUCGGAUUGUUUGGGAAUGCAGUCCAAAAUGGGUGGUAAAUUUCAUCUAAAGCUAAAUAUUGGCGAGAGACCGAUAGCGAACAAGUACCGUGAGGGAAAGAUGAAAAGAACUUUGAAAAGAGAGUUAAACAGUACGUGAAAUUGUCCAAAGGGAAGCGUUUGACACCAGUGUUGUUUUUCUGAAAAUCAAUUAAAGAACUGUUUAUGCUAAGUUGUUUAGACUUUAUCAGCUAACUGUUUAGUUUUGAGCUUUUCUUUAAUGCACUUUUCAGUUAACAAGUCAACAUCAAUUUCUUUUGCUGUAAAAAAGCUUGAGGAAGGUGGCUUGAGAUUCGUCUUAAGUGUUUAUAGCCUCUUGCCUAUGCAGUCGGAGAGAUUGAGGUCUGCAGCGUAGAUCCUUCGGGGCUAAAUGCAUUUGUGCUAAGUUAUAGCAUUUUAUAGACAACUUGUUGACUAUGAUUUGUCUUGUAGCUUACUCGCUUAUGUUAUUUUACCUACGCUUAGGAUGUUGAUCUGUAGUGCGUGCGC
This 775-nucleotide ribosomal RNA is filed under the name uncultured Neocallimastigales. RNAcentral describes it as "partial large subunit ribosomal RNA". It matches the Rfam family "Eukaryotic large subunit ribosomal RNA", at positions 24 to 646 of the family's 3401-position model. The record is from RNAcentral. Lineage: Eukaryota; Fungi; Neocallimastigomycota; Neocallimastigomycetes; Neocallimastigales.